RNAcentral lists this ribosomal RNA (484 nucleotides) under uncultured bacterium. RNAcentral describes it as "partial 16S ribosomal RNA". It matches the Rfam family "Bacterial small subunit ribosomal RNA", at positions 30 to 507 of the family's 1533-position model. The record is from RNAcentral.
AUUGAACGCUGGCGGCAGGCCUAACACAUGCAAGUCGAGCGGAUGAAGGGAGCUUGCUCCUGGAUUCAGCGGCGGACGGGUGAGUAAUGCCUAGGAAUCUGCCUGGUAGUGGGGGAUAACGUCCGGAAACGGGCGCUAAUACCGCAUACGUCCUGAGGGAGAAAGUGGGGGAUCUUCGGACCUCACGCUAUCAGAUGAGCCUAGGUCGGAUUAGCUAGUUGGUGGGGUAAAGGCCUACCAAGGCGACGAUCCGUAACUGGUCUGAGAGGAUGAUCAGUCACACGGGAACUGAGACACGGUCCGGACUCCUACGGGAGGCAGCAGUGGGGAAUAUUGGACAAUGGGCGAAAGCCUGAUCCAGCCAUGCCGCGUGUGUGAAGAAGGUCUUCGGAUUGUAAAGCACUUUAAGUUGGGAGGAAGGGCAGUAAGUUAAUACCUUGCUGUUUUGACGUUACCAACAGAAUAAGCACCGGCUAACUUCGUG